This 405-nucleotide ribosomal RNA is filed under the name uncultured Terriglobus sp. RNAcentral's name for it is "bacterial SSU rRNA". It matches the Rfam family "Bacterial small subunit ribosomal RNA", at positions 354 to 776 of the family's 1533-position model. The record is from RNAcentral. Lineage: Bacteria; Pseudomonadati; Acidobacteriota; Terriglobia; Terriglobales; Acidobacteriaceae.
GUGGGGAAUUUUGCGCAAUGGGGGAAACCCUGACGCAGCAACGCCGCGUGGAGGAUGAAGUCUCUUGGGACGUAAACUCCUUUCGACAGGGACGAUAAUGACGGUACCUGUAGAAGAAGCCCCGGCUAACUUCGUGCCAGCAGCCGCGGUAAUACGAGGGGGGCAAGCGUUGUUCGGAAUUAUUGGGCGUAAAGGGCGCGUAGGCGGUUUGGCAAGUUUCGUGUGAAAUCUUCGGGCUCAACUCGAAGUCUGCACGGAAAACUGCCGGGCUUGAGUAUGGGAGAGGUGAGUGGAAUUUCCGGUGUAGCGGUGAAAUGCGUAGAUAUCGGAAGGAACACCUGUGGCGAAAGCGGCUCACUGGACCAUAACUGACGCUGAGGCGCGAAAGCUAGGGGAGCAAACAGG